AAUGAACGCUGGCGGCGUGCCUAACACAUGCAAGUCGAGCGAGAAAGUCCCCUUCGGGGGGCGAGUAAAGCGGCGCACGGGUGAGUAACGCGUGGGUAACCUGCCCUUGAGUGGGGGAUAACCAGCCGAAAGGCUGACUAAUCCCGCAUACGACCGGCAGACACAAGUCUGUCGGGGAAAGAUGGCCUCUGCUUGCAAGCUAUCGCUCUUGGAUGGGCCCGCGUUGGAUUAGCUAGUUGGUGAGGUGAAGGCUCACCAAGGCGACGACGGGUAGCCGGCCUGAGAGGGUGACCGGCCACACUGGAACUGAGACACGGUCCAAACUCCUACGGGAGGCAGCAGUGGGGAAUAUUGCACAAUGGGCGAAAGCCUGAUGCAGCAACGCCGCGUGAGCGAUGAAGGCCUUUGGGUCGUAAAGCUCUGUCCUUGGGGAAGAAACAAAUGACGGUACCCUUGGAGGAAGCCCCGGCUAACUACGUGCCAGCAGCCGCGGUAAACACGAGAGUAC
Molecule: ribosomal RNA, 508 nt
Filed under: uncultured bacterium
Lineage: Bacteria
Description: bacterial SSU rRNA
Rfam family: Bacterial small subunit ribosomal RNA
Source: RNAcentral